UACGGGGGGGGCAAGCGUUGUUCGGAAUUACUGGGCGUAAAGGGCGCGUAGGCGGCCAACUAAGUCAGACGUGAAAUCCCCAGGCUCAACCUGGGAACUGCGUCUGAUACUGGAUGGCUUGAAUCCGGGAGAGGGAUGCAGAAUUCCAGGUGUAGCGGUGAAAUGCGUAGAUAUCUGGAGGAAUACCGGUGGCGAAGGCGGCAUCCUGGACCGGCAUUGACGCUGAGGAGCGAAAGCCAGGGGAGCAAACGGG
This 253-nucleotide ribosomal RNA is filed under the name uncultured bacterium. RNAcentral describes it as "partial 16S ribosomal RNA". It matches the Rfam family "Bacterial small subunit ribosomal RNA", at positions 524 to 776 of the family's 1533-position model. The record is from RNAcentral.